UACGUAGGUGGCAAGCGUUGUCCGGAAUUAUUGGGCGUAAAGCGCGCGCAGGCGGCCCUUUAAGUCCAUCUUAAAAGCGUGGGGCUCAACCCCAUGAUGGGAUGGAAACUGGAGAGCUGGAGUAUCGGAGAGGAAAGCGGAAUUCCUAGUGUAGCGGUGAAAUGCGUAGAGAUUAGGAAGAACACCGGUGGCGAAGGCGGCUUUCUGGACGACAACUGACGCUGAGGCGCGAAAGCGUGGGGAGCAAACAGG
RNAcentral lists this ribosomal RNA (252 nucleotides) under uncultured bacterium. RNAcentral describes it as "partial 16S ribosomal RNA". It matches the Rfam family "Bacterial small subunit ribosomal RNA", at positions 524 to 776 of the family's 1533-position model. The record is from RNAcentral.